AACCAUUCUCACCUGCGGCUAGACCUGCGGAAGGAUCAUUACCGAGUUUACAACUCCCAAACCCCUGUGAACAUACCUAUACGUUGCCUCGGCGGAUCAGCCCGCGCCCCGUAAAAAGGGACGGCCCGCCCGAGGACCCCUAAACUCUGUUUUUAGUGGAACUUCUGAGUAAAACAAACAAAUAAAUCAAAACUUUCAGCAAUGGAUCU
RNAcentral lists this unclassified non-coding RNA (209 nucleotides) under soil metagenome. Its description in RNAcentral is "partial contains 5.8S ribosomal RNA, internal transcribed spacer 2, and large subunit ribosomal RNA". The record is from RNAcentral.